UGGAAAGAAGGAUAUCGUGACAAACGGU
This 28-nucleotide small RNA is filed under the name Bombyx mori (domestic silkworm). RNAcentral describes it as "ovarian small RNA-34379". Lineage: Eukaryota; Metazoa; Arthropoda; Insecta; Lepidoptera; Bombycidae. The record is from RNAcentral.